RNAcentral lists this ribosomal RNA (459 nucleotides) under uncultured bacterium. RNAcentral describes it as "partial 16S ribosomal RNA". It matches the Rfam family "Bacterial small subunit ribosomal RNA", at positions 338 to 795 of the family's 1533-position model. The record is from RNAcentral.
CCUACGGGCGGCUGCAGUGAGGAAUAUUGGUCAAUGGGCGCGAGCCUGAACCAGCCAAGUCGCGUGAGGGAAGACGGUCCUCUGGUUUGUAAACCUCUUUUGUCGGGGAGCAAGAGACGCCACGCGUGGCGUUCCGAGAGUACCCGAAGCAAAAGCAUCGGCUAACUCCGUGCCAGCAGCCGCGGUAAUACGGCGGAUGCGAGCGUUAUCCGGAUUUGUGGGGUUUAAAGGGUGCGCAGGCGGAAGAUCAAGUCAGCGGUAAAAUUGAGAGGCUCAACCCCGGCGAGCCGUUGAAACUGGCGGGCUGGAGUUGGAGAGAGGGACGCGGAAUGCGCGGUGUAGCGGUGAAAUGCUUAGAGAUCGCGCAGAACCCCGAUUGCGAAGGCAGCGUACCGGCUCCACACUGACGCUGAGGCACGAAAGCGUGGGUAUCGAACAGGAUUAGAUACCCCUGGAGUC